CACAUGCAAGUCGAACGAACCUUCGGGUUAGUGGCGGACGGGUGAGUAACGCGUGAGAAUCUGCCCUCAGGAGGGGGAUAACGGUUGGAAACGACCGCUAAUACCCCAUAUGCCUAUUGGUGAAACGAAUUUCGCCUGAGGAUGAGCUCGCGUCUGAUUAGCUAGUUGGUGUGGUAAUGGCUCACCAAGGCUUCGAUCAGUAGCUGGUCUGAGAGGAUGAUCAGCCACACUGGGACUGAGACACGGCCCAGACUCCUACGGGAGGCAGCAGUGGGGAAUUUUCCGCAAUGGGCGAAAGCCUGACGGAGCAACGCCGCGUGAGGGACGAAGGCCUCUGGGCUGUAAACCUCUUUUCUCAAGGAAGAAGAUAUGACGGUACUUGAGGAAUAAGCCACGGCUAAUUCCGUGCCAGCAGCCGCGGUAAUACGGGAGUGGCAAGCGUUAUCCGGAAUUAUUGGGCGUAAAGCGUCCGCAGGCGGCUUUUCAAGUCUGCUGUUAAAAAGUGGAGCUUAACUCCAUCAUGGCAGUGGAAACUGAAAGGCUUGAGUAUGGUAGGGGCAGAGGGAAUUCCCGGUGUAGCGGUGAAAUGCGUAGAUAUCGGGAAGAACACCAGUGGCGAAGGCGCUCUGCUGGGCCAUUACUGACGCUCAUGGACGAAAGCCAGGGGAGCGAAAGGGAUUAGAUACCCCUGUAGUCCUGGCCGUAAACGAUGAACACUAGGUGUCGGGGGAAUCGACCCCUUCGGUGUCGUAGCUAACGCGUUAAGUGUUCCGCCUGGGGAGUACGCACGCA
This 792-nucleotide ribosomal RNA is filed under the name uncultured cyanobacterium. RNAcentral describes it as "bacterial SSU rRNA". It matches the Rfam family "Bacterial small subunit ribosomal RNA", at positions 52 to 890 of the family's 1533-position model. Lineage: Bacteria; Bacillati; Cyanobacteriota. The record is from RNAcentral.